GUGACGAAGCGACGCCGCGUGUGGGAAGAAGGCCUUCGGGUUGUAAACCACUGUCGGGAGUUAAGAAAUGCAAGAAUGUUAAUAGCGUUUUUGCUUGACUAAGGCUCCGGAGGAAGCCACGGCUAACUCUGUGCCAGCAGCCGCGGUAAUACAGAGGCGGCAAGCGUUGUUCGGAAUUAUUGGGCGUAAAGAGCACGUAGGCGGCUGUGUAAGUCGGUUGUGAAAGCCUCCCGCUCAACGGGAGAACGGCAUCCGAUACUGCAUGGCUAGAGUGCGGGAGGGGGGAGUGGAACUUCUGGUGGAGCGGUGAAAUGCGUAGAUAUCAGAAGGAACACCGGCGGCGAAAGCGACUCUCUGGCCCGUAACUGACGCUGAGUGUGCGAAAGCUAGGGGAGCAAACGGGAUUAGAUACCCCGGUAGUCCUAGCCGUAAACGAU
Molecule: ribosomal RNA, 437 nt
Filed under: uncultured Planctomycetota bacterium
Lineage: Bacteria; Pseudomonadati; Planctomycetota
Description: bacterial SSU rRNA
Rfam family: Bacterial small subunit ribosomal RNA
Source: RNAcentral